CAGCAGCCGCGGUAAUACGUAGGUGGCAAGCGUUGUCCGGAAUUAUUGGGCGUAAAGCGCGCGCAGGCGGUCUUUUAAGUCUGAUGUGAAAGCCCACGGCUCAACCGUGGAGGGUCAUUGGAAACUGGAAGACUUGAGUGCAGAAGAGAAGAGCGGAAUUCCACGUGUAGCGGUGAAAUGCGUAGAGAUGUGGAGGAACACCAGUGGCGAAGGCGGCUUUCUGGUCUGUAACUGACGCUGAGGCGCGAAAGCGUGGGGAGCAAACAGGAUUAGAUACCCUGGUAGUCCACGCCGUAAACGAUGAGUGCUAAGUGUUGGAGGGUUUCCGCCCUUCAGUGCUGCAGCUAACGCAUUAAGCACUCCGCCUGGGGAGUACGGUCGCAAGACUGAAACUCAAAGGAAUUGACGG
Molecule: ribosomal RNA, 409 nt
Filed under: uncultured bacterium
Lineage: Bacteria
Description: bacterial SSU rRNA
Rfam family: Bacterial small subunit ribosomal RNA
Source: RNAcentral